CCGUUAUUGUCUUUUCUAUUAAGAAAGUGUUCGAGCUCCCAUCGUGCCAGCGCCAAUGGCUACACAAAGCUGGUUCUGAGGAUGGUAGGACGGGAUGUAAUUUCUCCUUAUAUCUGUCAAAUAAUUUCCUCUAAAUAUAUCCGCUCCAGCACAAAAUAGACAGAAUAGACAGUAAGGAAAUAUUCCAACAAGUGAAAAGAAAAAGAAUGAACAAUUUGACCCUCUGACAAGCGAGAAAUGUUUAUGAAGGACCCGCAGCCCCGGCGUGGAGCGGUGGACACCCCGCACUAUUGAAAAUUAUUGAUAUUGCAUUGUUAUUUCAUGAUUUAUGUAUGAUUGUGUUUUGGGUUUUAUAUCAUUUAAUAACGCAAGGGCC
This is a long non-coding RNA of Hyla sarda, 376 nucleotides long. RefSeq lists it as uncharacterized. The record is from RefSeq and is a predicted model, not a curated record. The transcript has 4 exons. NCBI's taxonomy places the organism in Eukaryota, Metazoa, Chordata, Amphibia, Anura, Hylidae.